RNAcentral lists this ribosomal RNA (406 nucleotides) under uncultured bacterium. Its description in RNAcentral is "partial 16S ribosomal RNA". It matches the Rfam family "Bacterial small subunit ribosomal RNA", at positions 30 to 526 of the family's 1533-position model. The record is from RNAcentral.
AUUGAACGCUGGCGGCAGGCCUAACACAUGCAAGUCGAGCGAGCGGCGGACGGGUGCGUACUGUCUGGGAAACUGCCUGAUGGCGGCGGAUAACUACUGGAAACGGUAGCUAAUACCGUAUACCAUCCGCUGUGCCCUGGUGGGUUUAGCUAGUCGGUGGGGUAAUGGCUUACCUAGGCGACGAUCCCUAGCUGGUCUGAGAGGAGGACCAGCCAAACUGGAACGUAGACACGGUCAAGACUCCUACGGGAGGCAGCAGUGGGGAAUAUUGCACAAUGGGCGCAAGCCUGAUGCAGCCAUGCCGCGUGUGUGAAGAAGGCCUUCGGGUUGUAAAGCACUGUCAGCGGGGAGGCGUUACCCAAAGAGAAAGCACCGGCUAACUCCGUGCCAGCAGCCGCGGUAAUAC